UUCUUUACUAGUUACAACAGACGUUAAUUCUACACCGGGCACAUCAGUGGUUGCAGAAAUCUGGUUUGAAGUUCCAACCACUGGAUUCUGGAUGUUUAAUUCACCAAUGCUGCUUUCCGCUACUUCAUUUUGCUCAUCCAUGGCUGCAAAAAUCUGGUUUGAAGUUCUAACCACUGGAUUUUGGAGGUUUAACUCACCAAUGCUGCUUUCCGCUACUUCAUUUUGCUCGUCCAUGGCUGCAGAUAUCUGGUUUGAAGUUCCAACCACUGGAUUUUGGAGGUCUAACUCACCAAUGCUGCUUUCCGCUACUUCGUUUUGCUCAUCCGUGGCUGCAGAUAUCUGGUUUGAAGUUCCAACCACUGGAUUUUGGAGGUUUAACUCACCAAUGCUGCUUUCAGCUACUUCAUUUUGCUCAUCCAUGGCUGCAGAAAUCCAGUUUGAAGUUUCAACCACUGGAUUUUGGAGGUUCAACUCACCAAUGCUGCUUUCAACUACAUUUUGUUCACCAUGGCAUGACUCAGAAGGCAUCUCUGAGUUGUAUGUAGUAUCAUAUGUAGGUUGGACAGAUUCCACAUCACUGACCACAUCUCUCGUCUCAACAACAGUGGUGGUUUUCACAUUGAGAACAUCUAACGCAUCCAAACUUCGAUUCUCAGUUUCAACCACUGGAUUUUGGAGGUUUAACUCACUAGCGAUGUUUUCAGCAGUAAGAUUAUUUGCUUCAGUUACUUCAUUAUGUUCACCAUGGCAUGUUCCAGAAGGUGGCUCUGGGUUGCAUAUGAUAACAGAUGUAGGCUGAACAUACACCACAUUAAGUAACUCAUCUCUUACCUCAAUGGCAGGAGCUGAUUCCACACUGGGAACAUCUAUAACUUCAGUACUUUCGUUCUUGGUCUCAACCAGAUUUUGAAGGUUCAGCUCAGCAACGCUGCUUUCAGCAGUAAUAUUCUUUACUUCAGUUAGUUCAUUAUGUUUACCGUUGCAUGUUUCAGAAGAUAGUUCUGGAUUGCAUAUGGUGUCAUAUGUAGGUUGAACAUAUUUCACAUUGCCCACCUCAUCUCUUACCUCAACAACAAAAGUUGCUUCCACAUUUGGCACGUCUAGAGCUUGCACAAUUGGGUUCUCACUUUCAAUCUCUGAAAUUUGGAAGUUCAAUUCACCAAUGCUACUUUCAGCAGUAGUAUUCUUUGCUUCAGUUGUUUCCUUCUGUUCACCAUGGCAUCUCUCAGAAUGCAGAUUCUGAUUACAUGCAGUAUCACAUGAAACUUGAACAUGUUCCAUAUCACUGACCUCAUCUCUUACCUCAACAGCAGAAAUGGAUUCCACAUUGGGCACAUCUAAGGCUUCCAAACUUCGGUUCUCAGUUUCAACUGCUGGAUUUUGGAGGUUCAACUCACCAAUGGUGCUUUCAGCAGUAAUAUUCUUUGCUUCAAUUACUUCAUGAUGUUCACCAUGGCAUGUUUCAGAAGAUGGCUCUGGAUUGCAUACAAUAUCACAUGUAGCUUGAAUGCAUUCCAGAUUACUGACUUCAUCCCGUGCCUCCAUAACAGAAGCCGAUUCCAUACUGGGCAUCUCUAUAUCUUCGGCAUUUUGGUUCUCAGUUACUUCAGUAUGUUCAUCAUUGCAUGUUUCAGAAGAUGGCUCUGGAUUGCAUACAAUAUCACAUGUAGCUUGAAUGCAUUCCAGAUUACUGACUUCAUCUCUUACCUCCAUAACAGAAGUCGAUUCCAUACUAGGCUUUUCUAUAGCUUCAGCAUUUUGGCUCUCAGUUUCAACCACUAUAUUUUGGAGGUUCAAUUUACCAAUGCUGCUUUCAGUAGUAAUAUUCAUUGCUUCAGUUACUUCACUAUGUUCACCACAGCAUGUUUCAAAAGGUGGCUCUGAGUUGUAUCGAGCAUCACAUGUAGGUUGAACAUAUUCCACAGUACCUAAUUCAUCUCUUACCUCAACAACAGAAGUCGAUUCCACAAUGGGCAUGUGUGUAGCUUCACUUUGGUUCUCAGUUUCAACUACUGGAUUUUGGUUGUUCAACUGACCAAAACUGCUUUCAGAGGUAAUGUUCUUUGAUUCAGUUACUUCAUCAUGUUCACUAUAGCAUGUUUCAGAUAGCGGCUCUGAGUUACAUACAGAAUCACAUGUAGGUUGAACAUAUUCCACAUUGCUUACCUCAGCUCUUACCUCGACAACAGUAACUGAUCCCACAUUGGGCACAUAUAUAGGUUCAGCAAUUCGGUUCUCACUUUCAAUCACUGGAUUUUCGAGGUUCAAUGCAUCAAUACUACUUUCACCAGCA
Molecule: long non-coding RNA, 2293 nt
Filed under: Musa acuminata (dwarf banana)
Lineage: Eukaryota; Viridiplantae; Streptophyta; Magnoliopsida; Zingiberales; Musaceae
Description: long non-coding RNA (MACU_LNC003002)
Source: RNAcentral